This is a long non-coding RNA of Homo sapiens (human), 7017 nucleotides long. RefSeq lists it as uncharacterized. NCBI's taxonomy places the organism in Eukaryota, Metazoa, Chordata, Mammalia, Primates, Hominidae. The transcript is spliced from 2 exons. The record is from RefSeq and is a predicted model, not a curated record.
GGCAGAUGAAGGCCUCCUUCCCAUCCUCAACACAGCCAAGUCAUUUUGGGUCUCAAGUGUCUCCCUUUUGUCCCAAAUCAAAUUUUUCUUGCUGAAGAGCCAUCAUUUCAGACUAUUAAGAUGCUUUCAGAUCUGUGACGGGCUUCACCAAUUAAUAAAAGCUACUUCUAUACCGAUACUCACCGCCUGCCCCCAGUGCGGUCCGAGCAGGGAAUUCCAUGGUGCACGCCCAUAAGAAGCGCUUUCUGCAUCUCACAGGACAACAGCCGUCUGCGCUCAGACCCCACCAUCUCCCUCAAACACAGUUUCCCAGCAGAGCCGAGGAGAUGACGGCGCGGGCAAACCCUUCCUGUCCAAACAAAGCUCACUACAUCCCUGGCUUGCUCUGCUCUCACCCCAUCCCUCCCUCGAGUCCUGUACACAAGUGAGGGGAGGAAGAACGGAUCAGGAAGCAGCAGGGUACAAAGAGCAGAAGAGAGCUUCGGUCUCAAGUCCACAGGGCACGCUGCGGCCAAGUCCUCCGACGAAAAGUAAAUUAAAGACAAGAGGAACAAAGAAGAAACAGGGAGAGAGGAGGAGCACACACACCGAGCGUCCACUGUGCCCGCCCCUCGCUCCCCCCACACCAUGCGGUCUGUGUGAUCGUCCCACAGAUGAAGACUAGAGGGGCUCGGGAAGCCAGGCCUCAGAGCCCGCAGGCGCCUCCAUGCACCCCUCCACCUCUGCACGCUGGCUGCCCAGCCCCCAGUCCCAGGCGUGGAAGCCUCCCAGGCGGCAAGGAGCUUUCGAGACCGUGGCUGCUCAGCCCUUGCUCUCUGCUCUAGUCAAGGAGCGUGCCUCGGAAUGAAUGAGGUACAGUCUUUCCCUAAAGUCACCGGAGAACAGAGAUCAAUGAAAAAGGAGGAAGGGAGGAAAGACAAAAGACUUGAGAGGAAGCAAAACGAAACCAGCUUAGAUUUGAUCCCGAUACGUGGGAAAUCAGGUGGGGAAAAGGGGCUACAACUCCAUGAUGACCACAAGUCCAGAGGGCUGUGCAAGCCAACACGGCUGGGGGCUGCAGAAAGCACCACAGCAACUGUCUGACGCCAGGUUGGGGCCAGCAGCCGCACGCUGGAAAACGCAACACACAGCCCACACAGCCCUGUGGGGGCAGCUAAGCCCAAAACCCUGGCGUGGCCCAGCAGGAGCAGGCCUGUGCGGAGUGGACCUGCACACACAGCAAACGCACACACCGCGAACGCACACACCGGAUGCUUCCCGCUGUGGAGACCCACAAGGCAAUGUCUUCUGAAGUUAAAAGGAUGCCAGGAUCCAGCAGUCCCACUCCUAAGUAUGUGCUCAAGGAAAAGUAAGAGUUUAGAUCAUACAAAGCCAACAUUUCCAGCAGCUUUACUCCAUUUCACCAAACCCAGAAACAAUACAGAUGUCCUUCAACCAGUGAACGAAUAAACAAGUCCCAGAGCAGCCGUGCCUGGAGCAUCACUCAGCAACGAAAAGCAGCGCUGCGAUUCACACAGCCACGCGGUGAGUCCCAAAUGCACCUCCAUGAGCCAAAGAUGCCAUAUUUGUAUGACGUUCUGGAAAAGGCAAAAUCACCAGACAGAAAGCAUGCUGGGGUGGCCAGGGAGGGGAGUCUGGGGUGGUGGGGCCGCAAGUCAGCCCCAGGCAUGUGAAAAUGCGCAGCUGCACAGCAGAAGGGCAAAUGAGGCUGUAUAGACAGUUUUUUUUAAUCAACCAGAAUGAAAAAGACUCAAAAUGAAACACCAGCUCUAAGCGGUAAACCUAAGGGAACCACAAACAAAGAACACAACACCAGGCAGUGGGAAACACAACGGCACCCACGGUGCUGAGAAAACGCCACUUCCACUGGGAACGGUAGGCCAAGGACAGAACGGCCUGUCCACAGACACUGCACCCUCGCAAGUCAACCUCUCCUCACAGAGCCAUGGAUUAGCAAUUCCAGAAAGACCCUGUGCGCACGUGAGGACUGGAUGGGUAAGUAAAACAUGGUGUGUGCUGACACCUGGGCUUCUCAAGACCAAGGAGACAGCACAGGAGGCGAGGACAGCCCAGGGGUGCUGGAUGGAGCCAGUGUCAGGGUGUCCACCGAGGGGCCCUGGGGCCCUGACACACCCGGAGCAGGCAGCACCCCACACCCACAUCUCAUCUCUAAGCAGCACUCGGCAACAAGAGGAAACAGGGCUCACUGGGAAAGUGGCGGACUGCAGGAAAAGGGCAGGAAAAACAUCUAAGUUUAGAGCAUCCUGCAGUGCCAGAUAGUUUGAAAAAAAAAAAAGGCUUUAAAAAAAGAUGAGGGCAAAUCACAGGGCACGAGAGCCCAACUGUGAGAGCUCCCAGUGACCAAGGCUGAAAUACCGUGAAUGAACCGAAUCCGCAGAGCACUGGGUCACGGCCGUGAAGUAAAACAGAGAAGGAAGCAACUGACACAAAUAACCUACUCGACGAGGGGCAGAGCCUCCCUCAGCAAAGCGUCCCACUCAGGAAACGGGGACGAGGGGCAGAGCCUCCCUCAGCAAAGCGUCCCACUCAGGAAACGGGGACGAGGGGCAGAGCCUCCCUCAGCAAAGCGUCCCACUCAGGAAACACGGAAGAGACGGGCGGACAGAAAACCGCCCUGGGGCCAUGGUGACAAGCCCCGCAGCUGAGAUGCACCAAUAGAUGCUUGAACUAGGAGGAGAAGUUUUUGUAAGAAAUGGGGGCUGGGCACGGUGGCUCACAGCUGUAAUCCCAGCGCUUUGGGAGGCUGAGGUGGGUGGAUCACCUGAGGUCAGGAGUUCAAGACCAGCCCGACUAACAUGGCGAAACCCCCUCUCUACUAAAAAUACAAAAAUUAGCCAGGCGUGGUGGCAGGCGCCUGUGGUCCCAGCUACUUGGGAGGCCGAGGCAGGAGAAUUGCUUGAAUUCGGGAAGCAGAGGUUGCAGUGAGCCAAGAUUACACCACUGCACUCCAGCCUGGGCAACAGAGCGAGACUCUAUCUCAAAAAAAUAAAAUAAAAUAAAUAGGAUAUUUGCAUAUUCUCAAAGCAUCUUCCCCAAGAUACUUAUUAUCAGAACAAAAGCCGCAGCCAUGCAUUUAGGGAGGCCUUCGCCAGGUGACCGGAGUGACCACACCCGCAACAGAACAUGGUGAUGUCGCACACCCCGACAUCACACACCCAGAGGGACAUGACAUCCCUUUUAAGAUUUUCUGUCCAAAAAUGCAUAGCUUCAACCUAAUCAUGUAUAACAUCAGACUCGCUCCAACUGAGGAACAUCCACAAAACACCAGCCCGUGCUCUCGAAGAGGCGGGGUCACGACGACAGGAGAGACCGAGGAGCAGAUUCUCUCCUGUCCCAGAGUGCAGGGCAGGACAGGGCCACCAAACGCCAUGGGGAUCCCAGGCCAGAUCCUGGCACAGAAAAAGGAGCUCAGUGGGAGAGCCGGCAAGACCUGAACGCAGUCAGGACCCGCGCCUGCUGCACCCAGGCCUUACAGCUUCUGAUAACUGUACACGGGCUCACAAGACGUUACCCUCGGGAAAGCUGGCGGAGGGUGCGUCGAAACAUUCUCCACGACUUCUGCAACUUUCCUGUCAGUGUAACAUUAUGUCAAAAUGAAAAGUUCCCAGAAGAACAUGCCAGACACAUGAGAAAGACAAAAGGGCAAAUGGCCGGAUGGUAAUGACUCAUCCCAAAGGCCAUCUCAACACACCUCGGGCGGGAGAGCCCUGAGCCAGCCCACGGUCUGAGCAGGGAACCAGGGGGCCUUCCCUACACAGAGCACAGCUCCCACCCUGCAGCACCGCCCAGCCGGGGCCAACACCAGAGGACGCCAUCCUCCUUAAGGCCACAAAGUGUAUGGUCCUAGGGCAUCUUUCCUGAAAGAGACAAUUGCGAGAAAUGAAAGCCUGGCUGCCGGGAUCAAUCUUGCGGGUCACCUCCCUGCAGCAAGGCCCAAGCCGACGUCACGUGGCAGAAGGAUCUUCAUGAAGAUGAGCAUGGCUACGACUUGAACGGUGGUUUCUUAACAGGGUCCAACAACUACAGCCUGUGGCCAAAUCCCACCCACAGCCUGUUUUUGUAAACAACUUUUGUUUUUUUAACAAAGUUUUGAUGGAGCACAGCCACCCAGAAUCAAAUACGAAUCGCCGCUGCCGCUCUCACAGCACGAUGGCAGAGUUCAGCGUCUUCGACAGAGACCACCUGCCCGGCAAACCCCAAAGAGUCCGUUCUGGCCCUUCACACAAGACACUUGUCAGACCCAUCUUUUGAGGCCCACAGGUAGUUCUGGGAUCUCGGUAAGAAUCUGCUUUGCAAACACAAGGGCCUCGAAGCCCCGCCUUCCGGUGAGCACCGCUGCAGCAGCAGGGAACCUUCCGGAAGAAUCUGUUCCCAGGGUAGAAACAGUGACGGGCCAGUGCAGCAGAGAAGAGCAGAGCGCCUGGGAGACCUGCAUCAGAGCCCGAACAGCUGGAGGCGCCAGCUCAGUCUGUAUCCCCGCCCCGCGACCCAAGGCUCCCCCAGAAGCCGGGGCCCACCACUGGCACACUGCGGAAGCACUCCCGCAGGAGGACAUGAGGCCACGUUCACACCACGGGGCGCUGGCUCAGGACCCUUCCCAGCAAUUCCCGCAUGUUCCGGGGUCAGAGGAGGCGCUGGACAGGGUCCCCACGUGUUCCAGGGUCAGAGGAGGCGCUGGACAGGGUCCCCGCGUGUUCCGGGGUCAGAGGAGGCUGGACAGGGUCCCCACGUGUUCCGGGGUCAGAGGAGGCACUGGACAGGGUCCCCGCGUGUUCCGGGGUCAGAGGAGGCGGUGGACAGGGUCCCCACGUGUUCUGGGGUCAGAGGAGGUGCUGGACAGGGUCCCCGCGUGUUCCGGGGUCAGAGGAGGCUGGACAGGGUCCCCACGUGUUCCGGGGUCAGAGGAGGCGCUGGACAGGGUCCCCGCAUGUUCCGGGGUCAGAGGAGGCGCUGGACAGGGUCCCCGUGUGUUCCGGGAUCAGAGGAGGCGCUGGACAGGGUCCCCGCGUGUUCCCCGGUCACAGGAGGCUGGAUAGAGGCUCCACAUGGCGUGUCAAUGCCGGGCCUGUGGACACUCAGUCUGCAUGGUUCCCGCAUGGCCACAUCCAGGGAAGCCACGGCCCUGCCCCCAAGGUCAGGACUAUUCCUGGCCAAACAGAAGGACCUGCCGCGCAUGACCUGCAUGGAGCGCUCGGAGCAGAGGGAACGCACUGAGGUGCUGCCAUCAGGAGGGGAACGGUGGCGGGCCCUGCGGGAAGAAGCUCUCAGAGCAGGGCGGGCUGUCCCACUUCCCCUUCCUCCUGCCCCAGGCCCACACCCUCUCCUGCCAGCACCCCACCACCUAAACACAGAAUGCGGCUGCGCUGCCGGAGACGGUGGAGGGGGGAUAAGGCUCAGUGGGAAUGGGGCCCAGCCCCACUGCCCACCACUUAACCACACUCCCUAACCCGAAUAUCCCUCUGUUUCCUCAACACUAAAUAAGGGCCAAGGUGACCACAGAAAAAGCUGAAGGGCGUGAGCAGGACCUCACUGUCCACACUGACGUGUUGGCUGCUGCUCCCAGUGGCCCCAGCUCCAGGAUCCUCUUGUGCCCCUUCCCAGCACAGAAGGGAGCGAGAGCCAGGCCCAGGGAGCGGAGUGCGUGGGUGCAGCUGGAGGGCAGGCGGCUGUGUGUGUGCCAAGUGCCGGGAGGACGAACAAGACUCAGGCCUGACUCAUCUCAUAUUCCUGAAGCACCUAAAGUGGGCUGCACACAGCAGGUGUUGAACAAACGCUUCCUGAACGGGAGCGACAAGGAGCCUCUGUCCUCUAAGAGACAAGAGCCUUGCCAGGGAGGACUGGGGAGCCCCCAGAGAGCCAGCGCAGACGAUGAAUGCCAGGGCAGGGAAACCGAGGUGUCCCCAGCAAGACCCCAGGGGGCCCAGGUCCAUCGGACUGGAGCAGAAAAACCAGAGAAGAAGCCUGAGGAAGAAGCAGGACAGGCCACCAGACCCAACGGGGAGGAAGGCGUCUGGAUGUCCCAGAGUUAGUGAGAGGGCCUUAGCCAAGGAGGCAGGCACAUCACCAAGUACGAGGUGGUCUGCACCCUGCCUCUGCAGGCCUGGGCGGUGCUGCACAAAGUCCCAGGAGAUCCUGAAGUGUGCCCUUGGUAAAGAGGACAGUGGAGACAAAGAAGUAUUUGCAAUGAACAAGUGAAGGCCCACAGCAAACACCCAGCAUGGCACAGCACUGGGCACCACCCGAAGACAAGGAAACCCGACCUUGGGGAGCUCCCAAUGCAGCAGGAGAGGGAUCCAGGCUCUAACGCUGGGAACACAGCCUUUUCUAGAGAUAGGCCUGGCAGAGGCAGCCAGGCAGGCAGCCAAAGCGGGCAGGAAAGACCAGAAGCAGCUAAGAGUCUCCUGCAACAUCCACGUUCCCCAGGCCCCUCCUUCCUGAACAGUCUAGCGGGCCCUGGGGGCCACCGUCAGGGAGGAGCAAGGCUCUGCAGGGAAGCUGCACCCCAUUCCCAAGGGCACCUUCCCAAGCCAAGUCAACCCCUGUGCAAACUAACAGGCAGUCCAGCUCCACAAGCACUGCUGGUGCGGACGGCACAGAGGCUGGGAGAAACCCACAAACAGAGGCCACCCACAUGGUCGUGGUCUCUACAGACAGGCAGCUGCCCAUUCACAAGGAGGAGGCAUGAUAUGAUAUGGUCUGACUGUGUCCCCACCCAAAUCUCAUCUGAAACUGUAGUUUCCAUAAUGCCCACAUGUCAUGGGAGGUGAGUGAAUCACAGGGGCAGUUACCCCCAUACUGCUGCUCACGUGAUAGUGAGCUCUCGAGAGAGGUGACUGUUUUAUAAGGGACUUUUCCCCCUUUUGCUCGGCACUUCUCCUUCCUGUCACCAUGUAAAGAAGGACGUGUUUGCUUCCCCUUCCACUAUGAUUGUCAUUUUCCUGAGGCCUCCCCAGCCAUGAUAAACUGUGAGUUAAUUAAACCUUUUUCCUUUAUAAA